AAUCCAUAUGCUCCUUGGUUUUCUUCCUUGCCCCACUAUUGUUCUGUCUCAGUCUCUUUUGCUGGUCUACCCUCCUUCUGUUCUCUACCUCUCUUAAAAGUUGAUAUUUCUCAGAGUUCUGUCUCAGUUCUUUCCUUCACAUUCUCCAUACUCAUUCUUACAGUUGAGUAUCUACUGAUGUUAUUUCACUGCCAUUGAUACAGUGAUGACUUCGGAAGCUAUCCAUAUUUUUAGUCCGCUCUCCUGAACCCUGAAGCUGGGUUUGUGUGCAGCUCCUCUUGGAUGUCUCCUAGGUACUACUUCAAAGUCAGUAUGCUGUCAACUGACCUUCUCCCUUUUUGCUUCUUACCACCAUCAUCACCCUUCCCCCUCCCAACUAGUUCCAAUUUUGUUCCCCUUUUAUCCAUUCUCCGUGUGAAGCCUUAGGAAACUAAAAUUUGAUCAAAAAUGUUUUCUUUGAAUGUAGUCCAGACUCUUCAUAAAGGCUUUAAAGACCCAUUUGCUUUCCCUAAAAUUUUAUAUUACAAAAAUACUCAGUCAUCUAUUAUAGUUAUUAAGUAUUCAUGAUUACUUAUAAACAUUUAUUAAUGAGAAGACCUAUUCAUUAAAAUUGAGAUUCAUAUAUUUCUGGCACUUUGAGAUUAUACAGACAUAUCAAUUAUUUGGGUUUUUAAUCAUAUUUUUUCUAUCCAUCUAGGAUUCUCUUACCUUUUAUGCAGUCAUAUGCAAGAUCAGGAGGGUUUUCCAUCACUGGAAAGAUCAAAACUGCACUAAUUGAGAAUGCAAUCUACUAUGGCACCUAUUUGCUGAUUUUUGGAGCAUUUUUAAUUUAUGUAGCUGUAAACCCACAUUUACAUUUAGAAUGGUAAGAAAAGUAGUCUUCUUAACAUUGCUUUAAUGUAUGUUUGCAUUUUUAAAAAAUCAUUUUUAAUUUCAUAUGUGCAGGUAAAAAGACAUUUCAUUGAGAAAUAUAUUGUUACAUAUUUUAUGGAUUUCCCCAAAAGAAUAUGUGAAUAAUCCAUAUUACUAAGAAAAUAUGGAAUGACAUCUUUAAAUAUAGAUUUUAGGCAAAAGAUUAAUGAUUAGUCUAAUGGCUAUAUAUUAAAAGUAAUAACCCUUAUGAUUUUUGGAUAGAAUUUCAAAAUUUUUAUGAUAAAAUAACUGGUUUUAUUUUUCAUUGGAACUUGUGAUUUUUUUUGUUUUGAUUAUAAUUUGAAGGCAUAUUUGUUCUUAAUGUUACCUUGGAUUUAGAUAUUUCAAUAAAAUUGAAAUCUGUUUUAUACUUAUGAUUUGUAAUAUAUGUGAAGGUCUACAUCUGAAAAUUUAGGAAUAGAUCAGCAGUGCUAGGUCUCACUAUUGUAUUCCUGAGAUUUGCUAGGUCAGCAACACAGGUUAAUUUGAAACAUUUUCAAACUUCUUUUGUUUAAUAUAGAAUAAGAAAUCACCUAAUGAAAAAUGUUUCCUUUGGGAAAAUAUAUACAUAUUAUUGCCAUGAAUUAUUCUAGAUGCUAAUUUUAACUGCAGUAGAAACAGUGUCUCCUGUGUUAAAGUCUAUUUAUGCAGUCGCAUUUUAUCUUUCCAUUAAAAUAUACAUAUUAUCUGUUGUUUCCCUUUCUUAGGAACCAGCUUCAGACAAUUGGGAUAGCUGCUGCAAAUACAUGGGGUCUGUUUCUUCUUGUGUUGUUGUUGGGGUAUGGCUUGGUGGAAAUUCCUCGAUCAUACUGGAAUGGAGCAAAAAGGGGUUAUCUACUUAUGAAAACGUAUUUUAAGGCAGCCAAACUGAUGACAGAGAAAGCAGAUGCAGAAGAGAAUUUGGAAGAUGCCAUGGAGGUAAGCAAGUUUGAACCUUAUAAGCAAUAGUCACUAAGUCAUAUGUAUCCCCUUUUAGUCAUUUUUGGUUUGUUGUUGUUGUUAGUGCAUUGAUGGGCUUCAGACUGCAAAACUGGUGUUGUGCAAUCCUUCAGGAUGUCUCAUCCAGGAUGACUUUUUAGCAGUUCAGCCUCAUGAUGUGUCUUGUCCAUCUUCUGUCUGACAGAGAUUCAUGGAAAAUAUAUUCAAUAGUGCAGGGCUACGCCUAUUAUUUUGAGGUAACUUUUAAUAGUACCCUCUUUAAUUUUCAAAAGUCUCCGAGAUUAAAUGAUAAAUUGUAUGGUUACCCUAACAUAGUAGAACUGAGAAUAAUGACCAGAGGACACUUAUUUCCGAAAGGUUAACCUAAGGUAAUCCCACCAAUUCUGGAAACCUCUUUAAAGAACAAUUUGCAUGGGAGUUUGUAUUGGUAAGUUUUGUUUCCUAUCUGUAAUCUUAAUAAGACACUUCAUUUUACUUGAUGACUUAACCUAGUUUCACAAAGUUGUUGAAAGUAUAACUUUCAAUACUGUACAUAAAAAUAUACAACAAAUUAUAAAAUUUUUCUGUGUUAAAUAAAAAUUUUGUUAUGGAUUUAAAGAGAUUAUUGUAGUCACCUCACAUUUUUGCUUCCCAGGGAAAAUAUGCUACUCAGCUGAUGAUACUCUCCAAAUUAAAACUCCUGUUGAAGGCUUUUCAUUCAUGUUAGAAUAAACUCCAAAAUGUUUUAAUGCAGCCUACAGAAAAAUAAUUUGGCCUAUGUUUAGCUCUCCAGCUGUAUCCCAAGCCUCUAUUUUCUUGCACUGGUCAUCUUUGGUUUCUCAAACUUGCUAAUGUUGAUGAAAUAAUAAACAAUUCUAUAGACUUAAUAUUUACCUAACACUCAACUUUCGUUCCUCAAACUUAGUAAUGGUGAUAAUUAUAGUAAACAAUUAUAUAGACUUACUAUUUGCCUAAGAGGGACUUUCUAAGCACUAUACAUAUAUUUAAUUCUCAUGACUUUAUGAUAGAGAUUUUUGUAAAUCCCCAUUCUAUAAAUGAAGAAUAUGAGGCACGGAGAGAUUAAGUAACUUUCUCAUGUCUACAUGGCUAGGAAGUGAUAAGAGCCAGGCAGUCUUGCCUUAAACAGGGACUGACAAACUUUUCUGUAAAGGGCCAGAUAGUAAAUAUUUUAGGCUUUGUGUGCAAUGUCAUUUCUAUUGCAACUACUCUGUCAUUGUAGGAUGAAAGCAGCCAUAGCCAGUAAAUAAAUGAAUGAGAGUGGGUGUGUUCUAGUAUGAGAACAAGUAGUGGACUGAAUUGAUCUGGCUUGAUGACCAUAUGCUUAAUUAUUACACACAUUGUCUUUCUUUUCUAUCUUUGAGCAUGCUAUUCCCAAACUAUUAGAAUGCUCUUUUCAGCACUCUCUUCAGCUAAUUCCUAUUUCAUUUUCAAGUCUUAACAUAAAUGAUAAUUCUUCAGGGAAGCUUUAUUAGCUUCCUAGGACUGCUGUAACAAAACUACUACAAACUGGGUGGCUUAAACAAUAGAAAAUAUUGGCUCACAGUUCUGGGGACUAACGUUCAAGAUUAAGGUAUCUGCAGGGUUGGUUCCUUCUGAGGGUUCUAGGGAAAAUCUGUUCCAUGUUUGUCUUCUGUCUUCUGGUGGUCUACGAUCUUUGGCAUUCCUUGACUUGUAGACCCCUGCCUUCAUCUUCACAUGGUGUUCUCCCUGCGUGCCAGUGUCCAAACUUCAUUGUUUUGUAAGGACACCAGUCAUAUUGGAUUAGAGUUCAUCCCACUCCAGUAUAACCUCAUCUUAACUUAGCUAAUUAAAUCUGCAACAACCCUAUUCCAAAUAAGAUCACAUGUUAAGAUACUGGAGGUUAGGUUUCAGGGGACACAAUUCAACCCAUAACAUCUUCCCUGAUUGUCCAGACUCUUAAACACUCAGCAACCAUUUUUUAAAUGAAUGAAUAAAUGAAUAAAUGAAUGUAUAC
RNAcentral lists this long non-coding RNA (3826 nucleotides) under Homo sapiens (human). RNAcentral describes it as "non-protein coding lnc-NADK2-2:1". The record is from RNAcentral. Lineage: Eukaryota; Metazoa; Chordata; Mammalia; Primates; Hominidae.